GAUGAACGCUGGCGGCGUGCCUAAUACAUGCAAGUCGAGCGAACGGACGAGAAGCUUGCUCCUCUGAUGUUAGCGGCGGACGGGUGAGUAACACGUGGAUAACCUACCUAUAAGACUGGGAUAACUUCGGGAAACCGGAGCUAAUACCGGAUGAUAUUUUGAACCGCAUGGUUCAAAAGUGAAAGACGGUUUUGCUGUCACUUAUAGAUGGAUCCGCGCUGCAUUAGCUAGUUGGUAAGGUAACGGCUUACCAAGGCAACGAUGCAUAGCCGACCUGAGAGGGUGAUCGGCCACACUGGAACUGAGACACGGUCCAGACUCCUACGGGAGGCAGCAGUAGGGAAUCUUCCGCAAUGGGCGAAAGCCUGACGGAGCAACGCCGCGUGAGUGAUGAAGGUCUUCGGAUCGUAAAACUCUGUUAUUAGGGAAGAACAUAUGUGUAAGUAACUGUGCACGUCUUGACGGUACCUAAUCAGAAAGCCACGGCUAACUACGUG
Molecule: ribosomal RNA, 497 nt
Filed under: uncultured bacterium
Lineage: Bacteria
Description: partial 16S ribosomal RNA
Rfam family: Bacterial small subunit ribosomal RNA
Source: RNAcentral